This 497-nucleotide ribosomal RNA is filed under the name uncultured bacterium. RNAcentral describes it as "partial 16S ribosomal RNA". It matches the Rfam family "Bacterial small subunit ribosomal RNA", at positions 28 to 507 of the family's 1533-position model. The record is from RNAcentral.
GACGAACGCUGGCGGCGUGCCUAAUACAUGCAAGUUGAGCGCUGAAGGUUGGUACUUGUACCAACUGGAUGAGCAGCGAACGGGUGAGUAACGCGUGGGGAAUCUGCCUUUGAGCGGGGGACAACAUUUGGAAACGAAUGCUAAUACCGCAUAAAAACUUUAAACACAAGUUUUAAGUUUGAAAGAUGCUAUUGCAUCACUCAAAGAUGAUCCCGCGUUGUAUUAGCUAGUUGGUGAGGUAAAGGCUCACCAAGGCGAUGAUACAUAGCCGACCUGAGAGGGUGAUCGGCCAAAAUGGGACUUGGACACGGCCCAAACUCCUACGGGAGGCAGCAGUAGGGAAUCUUCGGCAAUGGACGAAAGUCUGACCGAGCAACGCCGCGUGAGUGAAGAAGGGUUUCGGAUCGUAAAAAUCUGUUGGUAGAGAAGAACGUUGGUGGGAGGGGAAAGCUCAUCAAGUGACGGUAACUACCCAGAAAGGGACGGCUAACUACGUG